This 71-nucleotide transfer RNA is filed under the name Deltaproteobacteria bacterium. RNAcentral describes it as "tRNA-Ala". It matches the Rfam family "tRNA". Rfam says of the family: Transfer RNA (tRNA) molecules are approximately 80 nucleotides in length. Their secondary structure includes four short double-helical elements and three loops (D, anti-codon, and T loops). Lineage: Bacteria; Pseudomonadati; Myxococcota; Myxococcia. The record is from RNAcentral.
GGGGUCGUCGUCCAAUGGGAGGACACCGGUAUGGCUAUCCGGAAAUGAGGGUUCGACUCCCUCCGAUUCCA